CCAUGACCAGACCGUCUUCCAUCCUUCGCAAUAACACGUCACUCUCUGCAUCUCCCCUCUCUCCUUGCUCCCACCCCGCCCCCCAUAGCCGCACUCUCUCUUCUUCCACCGCUAGAUGCUUGGAGCUUCCCCAUGCCUAUAAUUGGACUCUUCCAACAAAAAAAUUUUGAAAAACAGCAUGCCCUUCCCCUCCACUGUUCUUGACAGGCCCAACAUUGGUCGCACUUCAUCCUUCAGGUCACCCUUCAUUGGCAGAGACCCUCCUUCACUACCAUGGUCUUUUCAUUAAGGAACAAGAAGCCCUAAUUAUAAUGUGAGUGAUGGUGGUGAUGUGAUUCUCCAGCUUGGCUCUUUGCUCCACAGUAAGAGGAGAUGCCAGAUGUUGCAGCGGCAGAGGGUACUUUGGUUUUGCCGUAGGAUGCCCCUCCUCUUCCAACUCUUAGCAGAAUGAAGAUGUUGGUGAGGGAACCCUUCAGAGGCUACUAUUAAGGAGCUAACUCUAUAUGGUGAUGAUCUAUUGGUUGAGGAACUGGUUGCACGCGAGAUAGGUUGUGUAUAUAAUGACUGUGCCUAAGGGGCACCUUGAAGAUGAUAGUAGUCAUCUUCCUCUUUGAUUAUUUGUGUACAAACAUGAUGUUAUCCUAGGGAUAAUAUUGUAAUUAUGUUCUGAUAGGAGUAAACCAUCUUUUGUGUAAAUAUGGCACAUAUCAAUGGAAUUCACCCAUUGUGUAAGAUACUAGUAAGAAGAAUGAAGGAACUGGUUACAGACUGA
Macadamia integrifolia is the source of this 772-nucleotide long non-coding RNA. RefSeq lists it as uncharacterized. The transcript has 2 exons. The record is from RefSeq and is a predicted model, not a curated record. NCBI's taxonomy places the organism in Eukaryota, Viridiplantae, Streptophyta, Magnoliopsida, Proteales, Proteaceae.